RNAcentral lists this unclassified non-coding RNA (314 nucleotides) under Hevea brasiliensis (rubber tree). The record is from RNAcentral. Lineage: Eukaryota; Viridiplantae; Streptophyta; Magnoliopsida; Malpighiales; Euphorbiaceae.
GGCAGGGCUCUCCGAUGAAGACAUAUUUGCUGGAAAGGUGACUGAUAAGUGGAGAAUCUUUAUGAAGAAGCAAAUCCAGAGGGCAAGGAAAUUCUUUGAUGAGGCAGAGAAAGGUGUCACAGAACUGAGUUCUGCUAGUAGAUGGCCGGUGUUGGCAUCGUUGCUGUUAUAUCGCAAGAUACUGGACGAGAUUGAAGCAAACGACUACAACAACUUCACAAGGAGGGCUUAUGUGAGCAAGCCAAAGAAGCUUCUGACGUUGCCCAUUGCUUAUGCAAGAUCUCUAGUGCCCCCUAAGUCAACUUCUUCCCCAC